UACGAGGGGGGCGAGCGUUGUUCGGAAUUAUUGGGCGUAAAGGACGCGUAGGCGGCCUGUUAAGUCGAACGUGAAAUCCCCGGGCUCAACCCGGGAACUGCGUCCGAUACUGGCAGGCUUGAAUCCGGGAGAGGGAUGUGGAAUUCCAGGUGUAGCGGUGAAAUGCGUAGAUAUCUGGAGGAACACCGGUGGCGAAGGCGACAUCCUGGACCGGUAUUGACGCUGAGGCGCGAAAGCGUGGGGAGCAAACAGG
Molecule: ribosomal RNA, 253 nt
Filed under: uncultured bacterium
Lineage: Bacteria
Description: partial 16S ribosomal RNA
Rfam family: Bacterial small subunit ribosomal RNA
Source: RNAcentral